RNAcentral lists this ribosomal RNA (253 nucleotides) under uncultured bacterium. Its description in RNAcentral is "partial 16S ribosomal RNA". It matches the Rfam family "Bacterial small subunit ribosomal RNA", at positions 524 to 776 of the family's 1533-position model. The record is from RNAcentral.
UACGUAGGGGGCAAGCGUUGUCCGGAUUUAUUGGGCGUAAAGCGCUCGCAGGUGGUCCGCUGCGUCGUGCGUGAAAGACCCCGGCUCAACUGGGGGAUGUCGUGCGAUACGGGCGGACUGGAGGCCAGUAGGGGGAUGCGGAAUUCCGGGUGUAGUGGUGGAAUGCGUAGAGAUCCGGAGGAAUACCGGUGGCGAAGGCGGCAUCCUGGACCAUUACUGACGCUUAAGCGCGAAAGCUAGGGGAGCAAACGGG